CUUUGCCACCAUGGCCUUUUUGCCUUUACCUCCCUUAUCUUACCUCAUUUGCUCACUUUGUAUCUAGACUUAUUUUUUUACUGUAUUAUUGACUGUAUGUUUGUUUUUUCUAUGUGUAACUCUGUGUUGUUGUAUGUGUCAAACUGCUUUGCUUUAUCUUGGCCAGGUCGCAAUUGUAAAUGAGAACUUGUUCUCAACUUGCCUACCUGGUUAAAUAAAGGAGAAAUAAAAAAAUAAAAAAAAUAAUAAUGAUGGAACUAUGAGCUAGAGAUAUGAUGGUUUAUGGAGGUAGGGUCCUUCUCAAUGAGGUAAAAUACUCACUGCUCUUAAACUAAUUAAACUGAGGAAGGGUGACUGGGAUUCAUUUUCUAUUAAGAACACUGUUAGAUUUUUUCACUUAACCAUUAUCAGUAUCAGCAGAAUAUUAGAGCUAUCCUAUGAUACCAGGCAGCAUUAUCAGUAUCAGCAGACUGUUAGAGCUAUCCUAUGAUACCAGGCAGCAUUAUCAGUAUCAGCAGAAUAUUAGAGCUAUCCUAUGAUACCAGGCAAACAUAAUCAGUAUCAGCAGCCUGUUAGAGCUAUCCUAUGAUACCAGGCAGCAUUAUCAGUAUCAGCAGAAUAUUAGAGCUAUCCUAUGAUACCAG
Molecule: long non-coding RNA, 644 nt
Filed under: Salmo salar (Atlantic salmon)
Lineage: Eukaryota; Metazoa; Chordata; Actinopteri; Salmoniformes; Salmonidae
Description: lncRNA (ENSSSAG00000112490.1)
Source: RNAcentral